RNAcentral lists this ribosomal RNA (253 nucleotides) under uncultured bacterium. RNAcentral describes it as "partial 16S ribosomal RNA". It matches the Rfam family "Bacterial small subunit ribosomal RNA", at positions 524 to 776 of the family's 1533-position model. The record is from RNAcentral.
UACAGAGACCUCAAGCAUUAUCCGGAUUUAUUGGGCGUAAAGGGUCCGCAGGUGGUCGUUCACGUCGAUGGUUAAAGCUCUGGGCUCAACCCAGAGACUGCCGUCGAUACGGAUCGACUCGAGGUCGGGAGAGGUAAGCGGAAUUGCCGGUGUAGUAGUAAUAUGCGUUGAUAUCGGCAAGAACACCAAAUGCGAAGGCAGCUUACUGGAACGCGCCUGACACUCAGGGACGAAAGCGUGGGGAGCGAAAGGG